UACAGAGGUCUCAAGCGUUGUUCGGAUUCAUUGGGCGUAAAGGGUGCGUAGGCGGCGCGGUAAGUCGGGUGUGAAAUCUCGGGGCUUAACUCCGAAACUGCAUUCGAUACUGCCGUGCUUGAGGACUGGAGAGGAGACUGGAAUUUACGGUGUAGCGGUGAAAUGCGUAGAUAUCGUAAGGAAGACCAGUGGCGAAGGCGGGUCUCUGGACAGUUACUGACGCUGAGGCACGAAGGCCAGGGGAGCAAACGGG
RNAcentral lists this ribosomal RNA (253 nucleotides) under uncultured bacterium. Its description in RNAcentral is "partial 16S ribosomal RNA". It matches the Rfam family "Bacterial small subunit ribosomal RNA", at positions 524 to 776 of the family's 1533-position model. The record is from RNAcentral.